RNAcentral lists this ribosomal RNA (309 nucleotides) under uncultured eukaryote. RNAcentral's name for it is "partial 18S ribosomal RNA". It matches the Rfam family "Eukaryotic small subunit ribosomal RNA", at positions 1470 to 1796 of the family's 1831-position model. The record is from RNAcentral.
CCCUUAGAUGUUCUGGGCGGCCCGCGCACUACAUUGGCACUCUCAAUAAGUUCCUAGAUCUAAAACUUUGGGGUAUUCUAUUAAGUGGUGUCGUGACUGGGACUAACCCUUGCAAUUAUUGGUUACGAACGAGGAAUUCCUUGUAAUCGCGGUUUAUCAGCCCGCGUUGAAUGCGUCCCUGCCCUUUGUACACACCGCCCGUCGCUCCUACCGAUGAAUCGUCCGGUGAAGUUCAUGGAGUGGUGGUUGUUCCAGCUGCUGUCGAAGUGAAAUGGACCUCACGAUUUAGAGGAAGGAGAAGUCGUAACA